AUGCUUCUCCUAAAGACUAAGCCAUGCAUGCCUUCGAAUAGAAGAGCAAAAAUCUCUUUGAAUCUGCGAACGGCUCCGCACACCAGUUGCAAACCAUAGCGAGCAAAAAGGCCUUAAAAAUAAGCGGGUUUUUACCGAUCUGCUCGUUUUUUUGGCUUUUCUACACAGGGAUAACCCUGGUAAUUCUGAGGCUAAUACAAGAACGUUACAACCUGGUUAAACCGGUAAAUUCAAGUAACCGGGAUAAAUCGGGGGUUGUGUGAUUUUUUCUGCAAAGUCACCUAAAACCGACGAUUCGAUGCACAAUCAGACCACCACAAAAAACGGCCAUUUUUUCUCGUUAGUACUUUUACCGGGAAAACGAGGGAAUUUGAUCGGGUGGCUCUCGCUUCGUGCUUCUGACCUAUCAACUAGAUUGCAGCGUAACGGACAUGCUAUGGUUACAACGGGUACAGAGGAUAAGGGUUCGAUCCUGGAGAGUGGGCCUGAGAGAUUGCUCACACUUCUAAGGAAGGCAGCAGGCGCGUAACGUUCCCAUUGGGUAAAACCUGAGGGCGUUAGGGGAAAUAUGAAUACCUGCCGUUAGGUGGGUAAUUCAAAUGGGACUGUUCUAAACAGCCUA
This 622-nucleotide ribosomal RNA is filed under the name Physarum stellatum. RNAcentral describes it as "partial small subunit ribosomal RNA". It matches the Rfam family "Eukaryotic small subunit ribosomal RNA", at positions 28 to 536 of the family's 1831-position model. The record is from RNAcentral. Lineage: Eukaryota; Evosea; Eumycetozoa; Physariida; Physaraceae.